CUGGCACUCAGACAGCAUCCACAGCAUUGCAAUGGGGCCUCCUGCUGCUGCUGCUGAGGGACCCCAAGAUUCAAAGCCUUGGUGUCCCAGAUUUGCCCCACCUGGGGUAGGUGGAGACCAUGAGGGUUUUAUCCCAUCAUCCAGCAGAGAGACAUCAGUGAGAUUUUUCCCCCUAGUGCCAAGGACUGAAGCCAAACCCCACAGGGUGCUGUGAAAACCUCAAGUGGAAGGAUGGACCACUGGAGCGUGGUGGCAAUGGUCUCUGUUCCAGCCAUGACCAGGUCAAGUAUGGAUGCCAUUAAGUUGUCGUCAUGGA
This is a non-coding RNA of Zonotrichia albicollis (white-throated sparrow), 316 nucleotides long. Lineage: Eukaryota; Metazoa; Chordata; Aves; Passeriformes; Passerellidae. The record is from RefSeq and is a predicted model, not a curated record.